AUGAACGCUGGCGGCGUGCCUAAUACAUGCAAGUCGAGCGAACGGACGAGAAGCUUGCUUCUCUGAUGUUAGCGGCGGACGGGUGAGUAACACGUGGAUAACCUACCUAUAAGACUGGGAUAACUUCGGGAAACCGGAGCUAAUACCGGAUAAUAUUUUGAACCGCAUGGUUCAAAAGUGAAAGACGGUCUUGCUGUCACUUAUAGAUGGAUCCGCGCUGCAUUAGCUAGUUGGUAAGGUAACGGCUUACCAAGGCAACGAUGCAUAGCCGACCUGAGAGGGUGAUCGGCCACACUGGAACUGAGACACGGUCCAGACUCCUACGGGGGGCAGCAGUAGGGAAUCUUCCGCAAUGGGCGAAAGCCUGACGGAGCAACGCCGCGUGAGUGAUGAAGGUCUUCGGAUCGUAAAACUCUGUUAUUAGGGAAGAACAUAUGUGUAAGUAACUGUGCACAUCUUGACGGUUCCUAAUCAGAAAGCCACGGCUAACUACGUG
This 496-nucleotide ribosomal RNA is filed under the name uncultured bacterium. RNAcentral's name for it is "partial 16S ribosomal RNA". It matches the Rfam family "Bacterial small subunit ribosomal RNA", at positions 29 to 507 of the family's 1533-position model. The record is from RNAcentral.